RNAcentral lists this ribosomal RNA (1470 nucleotides) under metagenome. RNAcentral's name for it is "bacterial SSU rRNA". It matches the Rfam family "Bacterial small subunit ribosomal RNA". The record is from RNAcentral.
AGAGUUUGAUCCUGGCUCAGGACGAACGCUGGCGGCACGCUUAACACAUGCAAGUCGAACGAGAGAAGAGGAGCUUGCUUUUCUGAUCUAGUGGCGGACGGGUGAGUAACACGUGAGCAAUCUGCCUUUCAGAGGGGGAUACCGAUUGGAAACGAUCGUUAAUACCGCAUAACAUAAUUGAACCGCAUGAUUUGAUUAUCAAAGAUUUAUCGCUGAAAGAUGAGCUCGCGUCUGAUUAGCUAGUUGGUAAGGUAACGGCUUACCAAGGCGACGAUCAGUAGCCGGACUGAGAGGUUGAUCGGUCACAUUGGGACUGAGACACGGCCCAGACUCCUACGGGAGGCAGCAGUGGGGAAUAUUGCACAAUGGAGGAAACUCUGAUGCAGCGAUGCCGCGUGAGGGAAGAAGGUUUUAGGAUUGUAAACCUCUGUCUUCAGGGACGAAAAAAGACGGUACCUGAGGAGGAAGCUCCGGCUAACUACGUGCCAGCAGCCGCGGUAAUACGUAGGGAGCGAGCGUUGUCCGGAAUUACUGGGUGUAAAGGGAGCGUAGGCGGGAUCGCAAGUCAGAUGUGAAAACUAUGGGCUUAACCCAUAAACUGCAUUUGAAACUGUGGUUCUUGAGUGUAGUAGAGGUAAGCGGAAUUCCUAGUGUAGCGGUGAAAUGCGUAGAUAUUAGGAGGAACAUCAGUGGCGAAGGCGGCUUACUGGGCUUUAACUGACGCUGAGGCUCGAAAGCGUGGGGAGCAAACAGGAUUAGAUACCCUGGUAGUCCACGCCGUAAACGAUGAUUACUAGGUGUGGGGGGACUGACCCCUUCCGUGCCGCAGCAAACGCAAUAAGUAAUCCACCUGGGGAGUACGACCGCAAGGUUGAAACUCAAAGGAAUUGACGGGGGCCCGCACAAGCAGUGGAGUAUGUGGAUUAAUUCGAAGCAACGCGAAGAACCUUACCAGGUCUUGACAUCGUAUGCAUAGCUCAGAGAUGAGUGAAAUCUCUUCGGAGACAUAUAGACAGGUGGUGCAUGGUUGUCGUCAGCUCGUGUCGUGAGAUGUUGGGUUAAGUCCCGCAACGAGCGCAACCCUUACUGUUAGUUGCUACGCAAGAGCACUCUAGCAGGACUGCCGUUGACAAAACGGAGGAAGGUGGGGAUGACGUCAAAUCAUCAUGCCCCUUAUGACCUGGGCCUCACACGUACUACAAUGGCUGUCAACAGAGGGAAGCAAAGCCGCGAGGUGGAGCGAACCCCUAAAAGCAGUCUUAGUUCGGAUUGUAGGCUGCAACCCGCCUACAUGAAGUCGGAAUUGCUAGUAAUCGCAGAUCAGCAUGCUGCGGUGAAUACGUUCCCGGGCCUUGUACACACCGCCCGUCACGCCAUGGGAGUCGGUAACACCCGAAGCCUGUAGUCUAACCGCAAGGAGGACGCAGUCGAAGGUGGGAUUGAUGACUGGGGUGAAGUCGUAACAAGGUA